RNAcentral lists this ribosomal RNA (254 nucleotides) under uncultured prokaryote. RNAcentral describes it as "partial 16S ribosomal RNA". It matches the Rfam family "Bacterial small subunit ribosomal RNA", at positions 524 to 777 of the family's 1533-position model. The record is from RNAcentral.
UACGGAGGAUGCGAGCGUUAUCCGGAUUUAUUGGGUUUAAAGGGUGCGUAAGCGGCUUAGUAAGUCAGCGGUGAAAUUUUGCAGCUUAACUGUAACAGUGCCGUUGAUACUGCCAGGCUAGGAUUUGGUUGCUGUGGGUGGAAUGUGUGGUGUAGCGGUGAAAUGCUUAGAUAUCACACAGAAUAUCGAUUGCGAAGGCAGCUCACAAAGCCAAGAUUGACGCUGAGGCACGAAAGUGUGGGGAUCAAACAGGA